AAAAACAACGAGUCGCCGUCUACGUCAGUGUGGGCUUAAACUUUUUUUUUCCUUAAUUUAAAUUAUUUGUAAACUUUUGCGAAUAGAAGAUUUCACUGUAUGUAAUGAAAACUGUACAAGUGCUGCUAAAUAUACCUUAAGACACGACGCAAGAAACUACACUUGGAAUAUAUCGCUACAUCUGAGUACGUCGCUUAUCAACGUAAUUUGGCUGUGAUAUAGCCGUGAUAAUCACGUCUGCGAUGUGGGACAGUUGGUGGCUUUGACGUGAAUUUUGACCUCUAAAUUUUCUUAAUUUAAUUAGUUGUUCUAACUGCCAAUCACCGUAAAUUGCAAGAAUUAGAAAAUUUCGUUGUUCGAAAUGUCAGUUGACAGUCCCUGCAUACCUGCACAUCUUAAUGCUAUUAAUCAAUGACGCAAAUACGCUGAUAUCAAGGUGUAUUAAAUCAAUAAACCAUUAUAAAGCUA
Long non-coding RNA from Dendroctonus ponderosae (mountain pine beetle), 468 nucleotides. RefSeq lists it as uncharacterized. The record is from RefSeq and is a predicted model, not a curated record. The transcript has 2 exons. Lineage: Eukaryota; Metazoa; Arthropoda; Insecta; Coleoptera; Curculionidae.